RNAcentral lists this ribosomal RNA (494 nucleotides) under Glucitozyma multigemmis. RNAcentral describes it as "eukaryotic LSU rRNA". The stretch from base 166 to 319 matches the Rfam family "5.8S ribosomal RNA". The record is from RNAcentral. Lineage: Eukaryota; Fungi; Ascomycota; Pichiomycetes; Serinales; Debaryomycetaceae.
GCGGAGGAUCAUUACAGAAUGAAAAGUGCUUAACUGCAUUUUUUCUUACACAUGUGUUUUUCUUUUUUUUGAAAACUUUGCUUUGGUAGGCCUUCUAUAUGGGGCCUGCCAGAGAUUAAACUCAACCAAAUUUUAUUUAAUGUCAACCGAUUAUUUAAUAGUCAAAACUUUCAACAACGGAUCUCUUGGUUCUCGCAUCGAUGAAGAACGCAGCGAAAUGCGAUAAGUAAUAUGAAUUGCAGAUAUUCGUGAAUCAUCGAAUCUUUGAACGCACAUUGCGCCCUUUGGUAUUCCAAAGGGCAUGCCUGUUUGAGCGUCAUUUCUCCCUCAAACCCUCGGGUUUGGUGUUGAGCGAUACGCUGGGUUUGCUUGAAAGAAAGGCGGAGUAUAAACUAAUGGAUAGGUUUUUUCCACUCAUUGGUACAAACUCCAAAACUUCUUCCAAAUUCGACCUCAAAUCAGGUAGGACUACCCGCUGAACUUAAGCAUAUCAA